Molecule: ribosomal RNA, 253 nt
Filed under: uncultured bacterium
Lineage: Bacteria
Description: partial 16S ribosomal RNA
Rfam family: Bacterial small subunit ribosomal RNA
Source: RNAcentral
UACGGAGGGUGCAAGCGUUGUCCGGAUUUAUUGGGUUUAAAGGGUGCGUAGGCGGCCGAUUAAGUCAGUGGUGAAAUACUGCAGCUCAACUGUAGCAUUGCCAUUGAUACUGGUUGGCUUGAGUGCAGACGAGGUAGGCGGAAUUUAUGGUGUAGCGGUGAAAUGCAUAGAUACCAUAAAGGACACCGAUUGCGAAGGCAGCUUACUAGGCUGUAACUGACGCUGAGGCACGAAAGCGUGGGGAUCGAACAGG